GGGGGGGGGGGGGGGGGGGGGUCUGUCCCCUCGUUUUGGUGCGACGCUGCCCGUUAGCUUUUGUUUUGCUGUCUGGUUGCCUGUUUCGAUGUGUAGACCGAGAGAUUCAAAAACUACUCGUGACCCCAGCUGCCAUCUUCCCAGGACUGUCUCCCCCUUUCCUUGUAGUGGAUUGAAAACAAGGAGAGAGUUUAACUUUCCAGCUACUCUUACAAAGUGCGUGCGAGGUGCUGUGUCGGGACAGGAGGGCCCCGGCUCCCCCAUUCUGGCCCCGACGGCGGCCAUCCGCCUCAGGAGGAGAUCCUGGCCCUCGUGAGCCCGGCUCAGGGGAAACCUCCUGACAGGAAACUCAGACUGUAAGUCAGAAACAAGCAAAGAGAAAAGAGGUCCCGCCUCAAGGCUGCGUCUUGUUUCUCCACCAACACGUCUUCCCGUGAGAGUACUUUUCCUCGGGGAGCACACAGUUGAGCACUUGGCUGGGAUCACAGAGGGGGCCCCGAACCCCCGGCCCCGCCUGCACCCGUGACAAGGUCCAGCGGCAGAACAAACAUUUUCCCUCGGCCUCUGAAGGAAACGGGGCUUCUUGCCGCCUCUCCUGAGCUAUUUGUUCAGUCCUGAGCUGUUCCCCACACGCGGAAGGACUCACUCCGUCUCACAGACACCGAAGCCAAGCGGGCCUCGCGGAAACCGGGUGUUCGCUCCUUCUGCUCUGCCUCCAGGGACUUUGGUAAUCUUGGCUAAUACGACUUUUAAACUUUACCGUUUUAAAUUACAAAAUGAUUACUUGUGAUGUAUUCAAUUUAGAAAGGCGGGAAGUGUAGAGAAAGGGGAAGAAAAUAAAAAUCAGCAGAGAUUAGAAGGCACCAGGGUGUAUGUCCUAUUAUCUCUCUUUCCAAUGAAGUCAUAGUUUUAGCCACGAGUAUAAAAUCUGGGCUGUGGCCCAAGUCAGGGUCCACCGACCACCGUGCCAGGCCCAGCGUGCCCUGUGCUGGCUUCUGUACGGCCUCCAAGCUAAGAACCUCUUCCAUGUUUUCAAACGGCUGGGGGAAAAAAGUUAAAAUCAGAAUAUUUCAGGACAUGGGGAAGUUACCUGGAAUCCAAAGUUCAGUGUCCACGGACGAGUCUGCGGGCACGGGCCCCACCCCUGUUCACCGCGGCCGCAGCUGCUCCCCCCCCCACCCCCCGAGACCCCGGAGCCGGCGGCCAGUGGCGGGGAGCGCGGCCCGCAAAGCCACCGUGUCUGAGACCCCGCUGCGCACGCGGCUGCACCGUCCCUGCAGCUCUGCGGGCACCUUCCGCCGUCGACCCCCGUUUCACAAGCCGAAGAGGAGACGAGGACACGAAGCAACGUCCCGAGCCUCCCACGCGGAAGCCACGGGGCGUCUGUUAGACGAGUCGCUCCGGGAUGUGUGUGGACCGAGGCCCGGAAUCAGGCGCGUGGGGGCACAAGGGUCCCCAGCGUCUUCUUGGCGGUUUUCCGCACGUGCCGUCCGCCGGGCGCCAAGAGGCCAGAAAGGCAGAAACGAGCAAGCCCCGCCCACCAGGCGCUCCGUAGAAACGCAGGCCUUGGAGGGGUGGCCUCUGCGCCCUCGGGAUGUAGGCGUUGGACGUCAGCACUCGCCAGCGCGCUAACCCAGUUCCGCGGGAACUGCUGCAGGUGGGGUGGGGUCUCCAGGUUCAGUGUGGGGGGGGGGGGGCAACAGUUCCCGGAGGAGAGGCCUGGGCUCCGAGGAAGCGCCCCCAUCCCCCGCCCUAGGAACCUGGCCACUCAGACAGUGCUCACCGAGGGGGCAGGGACCACCCGGCCCUGUCACACAAUCACAUGCCCAAAGAACCACCGCGGCUGGUUUUGCGGGACCCUGGAUUCCUGGAUCUGACGAUCAGAAUCGAAGUCCCACGCCCACGGCCGACGGGGACCCUCACAGAGAUCAGUGGACAUCCCUGGAGAGAACACGUGCACAGGGGAUCAGAGCAGCCACCAUCCCAGGCCCCUGACUCUUUCUAACAGAAAAAUAAAUGGGGGUGCGUUUGGGGAAGAAGAGGGACGAUUUCUUACUUAUAGGCAGAACACUUGAUUUAUUCAGAGUGUAAGAAAAAUAGUUGUGUGUGCGACCUCAAAGGUUCGUAAAAUCAAUCUUUUGCAAGAGAAUGACUUUCCAAAGAUUUAUUAAAGCUUGCUGGGAUUUUCAGCAUGUUAAGGAAAAUCCAGGAAAACACACCUUUUCCUGAUGGCUUUAGAAACCUCUGCACCUUUUCCUACAAUUUCCCCCAUUUUGUAGCUUUUCUGUUGUUUUCUGCGUAUAACCUUUCCCGUACUUUCCACUUUCAUGAGCAUGUGCUAUCAUUCUCUCCCUUUCUUUUUCUUCUUGCUCCUACAAGCUAGCUUGAAUAAAGGAGUCAUUAUCAGCCGCCCCACAAUGGACCCACACAUCCUCAGUCAAGACGCCAAACGGACGAAAUAUUGAUCAGUCUUCCGGACCGCUGAGAGGCUGAAAGUUAACCCCGGAGCUUCCUGCCGGGCCGGCCCAUCCGCGGCAGCCAGAUACCCCGCCCCCCGCUCCGCCACCGAGCCUGGGGCGCCCCCGUGGCGAGUGCGGGGAAGACCAGCAGCAGGAGCUGGCGGAGCCUCUGCACGGCCCCGGCGAGGAGCAGCGUGGGGCUGGCGGCGGCCCUGCCACUCUGCACCACCCACCCACAGGCACCGAAAUGGCCAGCCAGCGGCCAGGGGGCGGUGACCGUGGACGGACGUUGCAGCCUGCCCGGCUCUCGGUGCCGGUGUCUGGACACGCAGGGAGGCCAGAGGCGAGGGAGUUCGCUGGGUGUGGAGGUCGCCGGGUGUGGAGGUGGCCGUCACCAAGCCUGCCGACACCUGGAAGCCCGGCCGGUCUGAGCACAGAGGCGGCACGUCCGCCACUGUGCUUCUGUUCCGCGGGAACCCUGGCACACAGCAGGUUUGCCUAGAGAAGAUUUAAUUCCGUUCUGGGUCCAACUCACAAUUCUGUUUCGAGAUUAGACGCCAUAUCACACAUUAUACGGGCAGCGGCUGAAUUGCGGGAAACGUGGGUCGUGCCCUUGGGGAUCUCAGGAUGCCCCAUCCCUUCUUCUAGCAAGGCGGCCUUCGAGGGUCAUGGCCAGUUGGUCUUGCUCCCAGUGGAGUCGAGACUCUGGGCAGCUGCCUUGCCGAGCGAGUCCUGGCCUCGUCUCCGUGGACGUCCCACCCACACUCAGAACCCUGACCAGUCUUGAGGCAUGAUUUAUUUAAUUUUAAUUUUUUUAAGCUUAUGUAUUUAUUUUGAGACCGUGAGAGAGCAUGAGUGAGGAGAGGCAGAGAGAGAAGGAGAGAAUCCCAAGCAGGCUCCCCACUGUCAGCACAGAGCCCGAUGCGGGGCUCGAACUCACAGACUGUGAGAUCACGACCUGAGCCGAAACCAAGAGGCGGAUGCUCCACCGAUGGAGCCACCCAGCCACCCGAGGCAAGAUUUAAAACCCAUGGAGUCAGCCUGGCAGGACCACGGACUCUGCACAUAACUAACUCCUGAAACAUCAGAGGAAGGAUGACAGGGCCAUGAUGAAGCCACAGAAAUCAGUGACCACAGCGCCCAAAGCCAAGCCCAUGUCCGGUAGUUUGUGGGCAAAGGUAAACUGUAGAAACCAGCCACCUUCCUAGAGGAGUCGACACUCCACGGUCGUACCCCCACCGUGUAAACGCCACACUCGGGCUCCCGGCCAAGCCGGUCCACCACCGCUGACCCCGGGGCUGGGCGGACGCCCUUCUUCCAGAGAUGGGCCCAGCGGGGCUCCGGGCCUUUGAGUCUCCUGUCCUCACUGACAGUUCAGCUCUCCUGUCUGUAAGUGAUGGAAACAGGAGGAGACGGGGUCACGGUGUGGAGCCCUGGACCGGUGUUGACCUCUAGGGGCUUUUCUGAGCUACUCCCUCCCAGCCCCUGCCCCCUGCCCUCCCACUUUUAACCUCACAUUAAAAUACAUGUAAAUGGA
Long non-coding RNA from Felis catus (domestic cat), 3996 nucleotides. RefSeq lists it as uncharacterized. The record is from RefSeq and is a predicted model, not a curated record. NCBI's taxonomy places the organism in Eukaryota, Metazoa, Chordata, Mammalia, Carnivora, Felidae. The transcript is spliced from 2 exons.